AGGAAAUUCCAACUCUAAAGAAGAUCAGGAAUAUAUGUAAUGAUUAAGAAAAUAGGAAUAGAAUAAUUUUAUUGUACCUAAUAGAGCAAGGGAAGGAGAACAUGUAAGUGAAUCUGCUUAAAUGAUAUAUAAGGCUUAGAUAAUUAAGAUGGAAGAAGUGCUUUCGAGUUAGCUCCCUUGGAAAAUCUCUAAUUAGUCUUUUGUGGUGUGGCAUGGGCUGUAGUUUAAGUAGUAGUUUCUCUCGUUUUCUAGAAAAAAAGUAUCUAACAUAAAUCAACACGUGGGAUCAAGCCAUAAAAAGUGACUUAUUAUAGGUCAAUCACGAGUCAAAGAAGAUAUCUUAUAGACGAGAACUGCACAGCACAUAAAACCAAAUCUUUUGAUGCUUCAUAUGAUGAUUGCUCUACAGAUGGAAAAAUGAAAGUAAACAUUAAGUAUGGACUUUAAUUUUAGAAACCGAUCAUAGUUGCAUCAGUAACACGAAUUAGUUACAACACCUGAUCAAACAUGGUUUAUAAUAAAUUUGAGGUUGACAACAUUUUACUCCCAUCGCUUUGUUCAGUUUCAUAUUAGAUUUACUAGAAGAAUAUCGAAAACAACUAAAGCAUUGCAACCAUAGAUAACUGCACUAGGUUUUGCUCUAUCCCUUCAUAUUCAAAAAUGCUUCACUGAGAUUGCAGAACCCUUAAUAUGUACAAGAAUCUCUUU
This 708-nucleotide long non-coding RNA is filed under the name Olea europaea subsp. europaea. Lineage: Eukaryota; Viridiplantae; Streptophyta; Magnoliopsida; Lamiales; Oleaceae. The record is from RNAcentral.